This 973-nucleotide long non-coding RNA is filed under the name Homo sapiens (human). RNAcentral describes it as "HSALNT0336757". The record is from RNAcentral. Lineage: Eukaryota; Metazoa; Chordata; Mammalia; Primates; Hominidae.
CUAGUGUAGUAAAUACAUAAACCAGUAACACAGUCAUUUAUCAUCAUUAUCAAGUAUUAUGUACCGUAAAUAAUUGUAUGUACUAUGCUUUUCCACAGCUGGCAGUACAGUGGGUUUGUUUACACCAGCAUCACUGAGUAAUGUGUUGCACUAUGACGGUGACAAUGUUACUGGAUGAUAGAAUUUGUUAGCCCCAUCAUAAUCUUAUGGAACCACCAUCAUAAAUGAGGCCAGUGGCUUAUGUGGAACAUUACUGUAUUUGGUCUUUGUCCCCAGGUUCCUGGCACAGACUUCCUAAAACACUGGAAUCUCGUGAAGAUUUUAACUGUCAAUCAAAAGGGAGAUACGGAAGAAGUAUAGAGCAGAUAACACUGUGAAAGAAUUGACGCAAACAAGCCCAGUGUGGCGGCUCAUGUCUGUAAUAUGUUCUUCCGAAACAAAUUCUGUCAACUCCAUCACAAAUGAGUCUGUGGAAGAACCAAUGCUGAAAGCAUCUCAGUAAACAAAUAUGGCCCAAUAAACUCAAGUUUCUAAUGGGCAGGCAUAUAGGGGAUGGCGAGAAGGCACAUAAUAGAGCUCAAACGAAAGCAAAAAGCAAAUGACAGAAGUCUAUAGGAACAGGCAUAGAAAGUGAAAGCUCAGCAUAUGCAGAAGUUUGUAAACAAUGCAAAGGAAAACUAACGAGAAAAUUAUAGGGAUGUUGAGAGGCUGAAGAGGCAAGAAGCAAUAGGCCCACUGGGUGAAGUUAAGCUGUAAGAGAGAGAAAACAGGUCUAGUCCAAUCCUAUUUUUAGCUUUAGCAAAGAGAAUAGGCAAAAAAUUAAAAAGGAUGACAUAUCCAUGGCUAAGAAGAAAGUGAAAUCCAGGAUGAAGUCUCUAGUCCUGUCAAAGCAACCCUCUGAGUUGCAGUACCAUUACCAGUAAUCUCAAAAGAAUCACUGAGAAAGAAAAUUGGAAGUAGGAAAAAAAAAAAA